Molecule: ribosomal RNA, 429 nt
Filed under: uncultured prokaryote
Also listed under: 1 other name
Description: bacterial SSU rRNA
Rfam family: Bacterial small subunit ribosomal RNA
Source: RNAcentral
UGGGGAAUAUUGGACAAUGGGCGCAAGCCUGAUCCAGCAAUGCCGCGUGUGUGAAGAAGGCCUGCGGGUUGUAAAGCACUUUAAGCAGGGAAGAAAGGUGGGGUGUUAACACCAUCUCACAUUGACGUUACCUGCAGAAUAAGCACCGGCUAACUCCGUGCCAGCAGCCGCGGUAAUACGGAGGGUGCGAGCGUUAAUCGGAAUUACUGGGCGUAAAGCGCGCGUAGGCGGUUUGUUAAGUCAGCUGUGAAAGCCCCGGGCUUAACCUGGGAAUGGCAGUUGAUACUGGCGAGCUAGAGUGUGGUAGAGGGGUGUGGAAUUUCCGGUGUAGCAGUGAAAUGCGUAGAGAUCGGAAGGAACACCAGUGGCGAAGGCGGCACCCUGGACCAACACUGACGCUGAGGUGCGAAAGCGUGGGGAGCAAACAGG